Molecule: ribosomal RNA, 252 nt
Filed under: uncultured bacterium
Lineage: Bacteria
Description: partial 16S ribosomal RNA
Rfam family: Bacterial small subunit ribosomal RNA
Source: RNAcentral
UACGGAGGGAGCUAGCGUUGUUCGGAAUUACUGGGCGUAAAGCGCACGUAGGCGGCUUUGUAAGUUUAGAGGUGAAAGCCCGGGGCUCAACUCGGAAUUGCCUUUAAGACUGCAUCGCUUGAAUCCGGGAGAGGUGAGUGGAAUUCCGAGUGUAGAGGUGAAAUUCGUAGAUAUCGGAAGAACACCAGUGGCGAAGGCGGCUCACUGGACCGGUAUUGACGCUGAGGUGCGAAAGCGUGGGGAGCAAACAGG